UACGGAGGAUGCGAGCGUUAUCCGGAUUUAUUGGGUUUAAAGGGUGCGCAGGCGGUCUGUUAAGUCAGCGGUCAAAGCCCGGGGCUCAACCCCGGCCCGCCGUUGAAACUGGCAGUCUCGAGUUGGAGAGAAGUAUGCGGAAUGCGCGGUGUAGCGGUGAAAUGCAUAGAUAUCGCGCAGAACUCCGAUUGCGAAGGCAGCAUGCCGGCUCCACACUGACGCUGAGGCACGAAGCGUGGGUAGUCGAAC
This 249-nucleotide ribosomal RNA is filed under the name uncultured bacterium. RNAcentral's name for it is "partial 16S ribosomal RNA". It matches the Rfam family "Bacterial small subunit ribosomal RNA", at positions 524 to 773 of the family's 1533-position model. The record is from RNAcentral.